Molecule: ribosomal RNA, 254 nt
Filed under: uncultured bacterium
Lineage: Bacteria
Description: partial 16S ribosomal RNA
Rfam family: Bacterial small subunit ribosomal RNA
Source: RNAcentral
UACGGGGGGAGCAAGCGUUGUUCGGAUUUACUGGGCGUAAAGGGCGCGUAGGCGGCCUCCGCAAGUCAGUUGUGAAAUCUCCGAGCUUAACUCGGAAAGGUCAACUGAUACUGCGGGGCUAGAGUGCGGAAGGGGCAACUGGAAUUCUUGGUGUAGCGGUGAAAUGCGUAGAUAUCAAGAGGAACACCUGCGGCGAAGGCGGGUCUCUGGGCCGAUACUGACGCUGAGGAGCGAAAGCGUGGGGAGCGAACAGG